ACAAAAAUAUGAAUAUAAUUAAAAGUUAACAUCAAUAUAAAAUUUUGGGACUUACCUGGCCGUUGAUGAAAAUGCAGCUAAGUUUUUGCUCCAAAUUAUUUCUGUGCAAUUCCGAGGUUUUAAUGGAAAUCCUAAGGCGUUUAAUUUCUGCUGACUGCUCGUUUCUGCACUUAUUCAAAGUUCUAACACUAUUCAGCCUUUGUCUAAAAAGAAUUAGAAAUACACAUACUUAUUAUUUUCUCGUCUUUCUCGUCCUGCAGUUUGAGAUACCUCUCCAACCUCGUCUUCUUGAAUUAUUUCAACAGGGGCGGUAUUCUUCAACAUUAUUGUCCUCUGCAGGAGCAGUUAACGUGGGAAAAGCGCUAGGCAGUAACUUAGUUGGAUUCCGCGAACUUAAACCUGCAAGAGUGUUUGGUUAUAAAAGUAAAAUUAUUGUAAUCAAAAUGCCAGAAUUACACAUUUCAAACUGCAAGUUGCAUUAAUUUUGUCCAUACGACGACAAAAAUUAUCCAUUGUUUUACCACUGUUUUAUCUUUAGGGAAAUGGAAAAAUCUCCAUUUCGUAGCACAAUUUUUACCAUUAUUAUUAUUGCACCCAACACUGCGCAACUCAUUUAAAAAAAUAUAAAAUUUAA
This is a long non-coding RNA of Bactrocera tryoni, 634 nucleotides long. RefSeq lists it as uncharacterized. The record is from RefSeq and is a predicted model, not a curated record. The transcript has 3 exons. NCBI's taxonomy places the organism in Eukaryota, Metazoa, Arthropoda, Insecta, Diptera, Tephritidae.